This 229-nucleotide ribosomal RNA is filed under the name uncultured bacterium. Its description in RNAcentral is "partial 16S ribosomal RNA". It matches the Rfam family "Bacterial small subunit ribosomal RNA", at positions 568 to 796 of the family's 1533-position model. The record is from RNAcentral.
UGCGUAGGCGGGCUAAUAAGUCAGUGGUGAAAUCUCUCGGCUCAACCGGGAAACUGCCAUUGAUACUGUUAGUCUUGAGUUCGGUUGAGGUAGGCGGAAUGUGUAAUGUAGCGGUGAAAUGCUUAGAUAUUACACAGAACACCAAUUGCGUGGGCAGCUUACUAGACCGACACUGACGCUGAGGCACGAAAGCGUGGGGAGCGAACAGGAUUAGAUACCCUGGUAGUCC